UUAGUAAAAUCGAUCAUGAUUUUGAAUUUUAUUAAAAUAACCUAUUUUAUUUUUUUUUUCUAUUUUUUCAUUUUUUUAAUAUUUUGGGUUGUUGUGAUUUUUAAUCAUUUUAACUAAUAGUACAUAAAUAAAAUAAUUAUUAAAAACCUAAUGAAAAUUAAAAAUAAAGAUACAACUGGCUUGAUUUUUUGUGAUUUAUUGACUCAAUGAAUUUGAUUAGACACACUAAAGAUGAUAAUAUCAAUAAUAAAAAUAGUGAAAUAAUUAAAUGAGUAAUAAUAAUAAUAAUAAUAAUAAUAAUAAUAAUAAUAAAUAAUAAGACAUCUAAUAGAAUAAGCUAAUACUUACUAAUAAUACUGAAAAGUCUUAAACAAUGUUAAUAUGAAACUAAUAAUGAAAACUAUGGAAAUAAAAAUAAAAAAGAGUGAGAAAAAUAUAUAGAAAUUUAUCAAGUUAAAAGCAAAGAGAGAAAUAAACUACAAAAUAAUAGGUGGUAUAAAAUAUAAUAUUUUUUCUAUUUUUAUUUGUGAAGGAAAAUUAAUAUUUGAUUUGGUUUUAAUUUAAGAUUGAUUUUGGAGGGUUGAGGAAGAAAGAACAUAUUUUUUGUUGCAAGAUUUGUACUAUUAUUUUUUCUUUUGGGAAUAUUUAUUGGUUAAAUAGCUAUAUAAUAUAAUAAUAAUAAUAAUAAAUUACUAAAAUAACAAACUUAAUUAUUCAAUUUAAUAAUAAUAUAAUGAUAAAAAAAUUCUUUUUGACGUUUUCUUUUAAUACUAAUAAUACACAUAAUUUAAGAACAAUGAUAAUACUAUGCCUAAUGAAAUUAAUAGUAAACUAACUAACAAAUAUUUUUGAUUUUUCAUUUUUAUAAUAUAACAUUACCUAAUAUUACUAAUAAUACAAAAUAUAAAUAAUAGUUAUAAUAAUAAAAAAAGGAAAGAAGAGCAAAUGAACUUAAUAAGAAAAAUGAGAAGAAAUAAAAGUUAAUAAAAGGUCCCAACAUGAUUCAAACCUAAGACCUAAGGCCGUAUGCUUACACAGCUUCUUCAUACAUUAAACUCUCACCAACUGAGAGUAUUAUAAUUAUUUUGAAAAUAAAUCAGCAAAAACAUAUAUUUUUUUGAUUUUUCAUUUUUAUAAUAAUACAUUACCUAAUAUUACUAAUAAUAUCAAAAUAUAAUAAUAAUAGUUAUAAUAAUAAAAAAGGAAGAAGAGCAAAUGAACUAAAAUAAGAAAAAUGAGAAGAAAUAAAAGUUAAUAAAAGGUCCCAACAUGAUUCAAACCUAAGACCUAAGGCCGUAUGCUUACCACUCUUCAUACUUAAACUCUCACCAACUGAGAUAUUAUAAUUAUUUGAAAUAAAAUCGAGCAAAAACAUAUAUGACAGUAAAAGUUUUUUUUAUAUAUUUUUUAAUUCUUUUUAAAUAAAAGUGUAUUUUUUUUACGAAUUAAAGAUUUUUUUAAAUAUCUUUAUGUAUUUUAGAAUUUAAUAUAGUAGAGAUCAAAAUGAACUAACCUAGAUUAAUUUAAUAAUAUUCAUUUUUUUAUUUGUUACUUUAAUGAUUAUUAAUUUUUGGUAUAUUUAUUAAACUCUAUUAUUAUUUUGGUAUUUUUAUCAUUUAAAUGAGAAAAUAAUUAUUUACACACAUGAAGCCUAUAUUUUUCUUUAUUUUUGAAUUAAUAGAGAAAAGAGAAUAUUUUUGGUUUUUUAGGGAACUAAAGAAGUAAUUUUUGUUAUUUAAAUUUAAAUGAAAAGGAAAUAUUUUUUUUAUUUAAUAAAUAUCUAAAAGAUUUACUUUAGGAUUAUGAUUCUUUAAAUAAAACAAUACAUGGUGCAAAGAGCAAUGGUUCUAAAUCCCAAUAUAAUUACAAAGCCUAAAAAAACAAUUUUAUUUUAUAAAAACUAGUAACUAAGAUAAAGUAGUAAAAAAUAAUAAUAAAAAAGGGAAAGAAAGAAUAAAUAAAUAAAAAAGACAAAACAUAAAACGUACACAUGUGGUAGCAGCGGUGUCCAUUUGCAUAACCUGUAGCAUGUCUUGACCUUUUCCAAAACCAAACUUUCAUAGCCACUCCGAAAUCAACAUGUGGCAGCAAGAUCGGAGACGUUGUGGCGUUGGUUGGAUGGCGAGCAGAGCAGAGGUCACCGACGCGGUUUUUCUGGUAAAGGGUAUUACACGAUGACUUGCAGCGGUGUCAGUGGGUGACUCGUGUUGUUAUUAUGUUGAGUCGCAUAGAGAUUCGACGGUGGUGUUGUAGAGUUUUCACAGUGAGUUACGGUUUAUUGAUUCUGUUUCCUAAUUUUUCUACUUUUUUGAUUUGUUUUUGUUGUGUGAUGAGUUAUUAUGAAUCAGUUGUGUGGUGUUUUUGAACUUGUGAUAGUUAGUGAAGGUUUGGUUGUGAAUUACCGAUUUUGUUAUGGAUUUUGCUGGGAAAAAGUGUGGAGAAAAGAUAUGAAGAUGAGAAUAUGUUGGGUAUUGGAAUUUAUUAGUGGUGUGUGAGAGAUGUUUUUUUCCGCGUAAGUGGAGGCAGAGAAAAUCAGAGUAGAACUUUUUUCUUGGAUUUUUUCUAGUAUUUGUAGUUUUAUUGUACAUGUCCCCUUUUUCACAAUAUGAUAGUUCUCUUUUAUAGUUCUUAAACAAAACAAAAAAUAAAAUAAAAUCAAUCCAUAAAGUGGCACAUAAAAUUUGAUUAUUACUAUUUUUUUUUUAAAAAAUACAAUUAAAGUCACAUUAAUGUGUUAAAUUUUUUUAAUAACAGUUAUAUAAUCAAAGUAAGACCUUUUAGAUUUUUUUUCUUAGUAAAUCGAUCAUGAUUUUGAAUUUUAUUAAAAAUAACCUAUUUUUAUAUUUUUUUCCAUUUUUUCAUUUUUUUAAAUAUUUUUUUGUUGUUUUGAUUUUUAAAUCAUUUUAACUAAUAGUACAUAAAAUAAAAUAAUUAUUAAAAAAACCUAAUGAAAAUUAAAAAUAAAGAUACAACUGGUUUGAUUUUUUGUGAUUUAUUGACUCAAUGAAUUUGAUUAGACACACUAAAGAUGAUAAUACUAAUAAUAAAAUAGUGAAAUAAUUAAAUGAGUAAUAAU
Molecule: long non-coding RNA, 3076 nt
Filed under: Lathyrus oleraceus (garden pea)
Lineage: Eukaryota; Viridiplantae; Streptophyta; Magnoliopsida; Fabales; Fabaceae
Description: Pisum sativum (pea) long non-coding RNA (PSAT_LNC020486)
Source: RNAcentral